UACGGAAGGCAGCAGUGGGGAAUAUUGCACAAUGGGCGCAAGCCUGAUGCAGCCAUGCCGCGUGUAUGAAGAAGGCCUUCGGGUUGUAAAGUACUUUCAGUCGUGAGGAAGGUGUUAAGGUUAAUAACCUUAGCAAUUGACGUUAGCGACAGAAGAAGCACCGGCUAACUCCGUGCCAGCAGCCGCGGUAAUACAGAGGGUGCGAGCGUUAAUCGGAUUUACUGGGCGUAAAGCGUGCGUAGGCGGCUUUUUUAAGUCGGAUGUGAAAUCCCCGAGCUUAACUUGGGAAUUGCAUUCGAUACUGGGAAGCUAGAGUAUGGGAGAGGAUGGUAGAAUUCCAGGUGUAGCGGUGAAAUGCGUAGAGAUCUGGAGGAAUACCGGAUGGCGAAGGGCAGCCAUCUGGGCCUAAUACUGACGCUGAGGUCGAAAGCAUGGGGA
RNAcentral lists this ribosomal RNA (438 nucleotides) under uncultured bacterium. RNAcentral's name for it is "bacterial SSU rRNA". It matches the Rfam family "Bacterial small subunit ribosomal RNA", at positions 340 to 767 of the family's 1533-position model. The record is from RNAcentral.